This 2996-nucleotide long non-coding RNA is filed under the name Homo sapiens (human). RNAcentral's name for it is "HSALNT0395417". Lineage: Eukaryota; Metazoa; Chordata; Mammalia; Primates; Hominidae. The record is from RNAcentral.
GUGAGUGUGAAAACGCUUCCCUCGCAACGUCGACAGUGAGCGCGAGAACACGCUUCCCUCAGGUUUACAAUGUCGACAGUGAGCGUGAGAACACGCUUCCCUCACAACGUCGACAGUGAGUGUGAGAACACGCUUCCCUCAGGUUUACAACGUUGACAGUGAGUGUGAGAACACACUUCCCUCAGGUUUACGUCAACAGUGAGCGUGAGAACACGCUUCCCUCAGGUUUAUGUCGACAGCGUGAGAAUACACUUCCCUCACAACGUCGACAGUGAGUGUGAGAACACGCUUCCCUUGCAACGUCGACAGUGAGUGUGAGAACACGCUUCCCUCAGGUUUACAACGUCGACAGUGAGCGCGAGAACACGCUUCCCUUGCAACGUCAACAGUGAGUGUGAGAACACGCUUCCCUCAGGUUUACAACGUCGACAGUGAGCGCGAGAACACGCUUCCCUCAGGUUUACGUCGACAGUGAGCGCGAGAACACGCUUCCCUCAGGUUUACGUCGAUAGUGAGCGUGAGAACACGCUUCCCUGGGGUUUACGUCGACAAUGAGCUGAGAACACGCUUCCCUCAGGUUUACAAUGUUGACAGUGAGCAUGAGAACACGCUUCCCUCGCAACGUUGACAGUAAGCGUGAGAACACGCUUCUCUCACUUGCCGUCUGAAGAGCGAGGCAACCGACAAAAACUGAAAUUUAAUAAAAGCUGUCUCCCUCAGGUGGUUGUGGGGCCUUCAGUAGAACAGGGAUGAGGGGCCCACAGGCCGCUGUUCACAGGUGGGGCCAGCCCAGCUCCAACCCCAGAAGCACUCGGCAGCUGGGCUCCCAGAAUUCUCACCCCUGUGGCGACCUGGAGCGUGGCGCAGGCCACGCUGUGGGCUGGAAAUGUCAGCAUCAUCCGCUCUGUCUGAAAUCAGUGCCCGCAGCCCCCCACGAGACAGAUUCCCGGCCCUGCCUGCUUGUAUCUGGGGGCACAAGUGCACCCCUCACACAAGCCCCAGGCCACGCGGACGCCGCCUUUCUAACCAGACCUGGGCAGGGUUCCCACGUUCCAGGUUCGCCUCUCUCCUUUAAUGCUGACGUGCUGGAAUAACCUCUCGGAACUGCCAACCUUCCUGGCACCAGAUCAUCCCUCAGCCCUCCUAACGCGCCUUCCGGGAGAUUAAAUUCAGGCGCAGUUACACAAAAACAGUGACAGACAAGCCGCUCAGGAAGCCUCUCUGUGGGCAUGUGUGUUCCAGCCUCUAACUGCAGACAACAUUUUCACUUUCCUCACCGGGCAGCACCCCGGGAUGUCAGGAGGGGCGGCCGGCAGGACUCCCCGAGGGCUAUGCCCACUCCGUUCAUGGGGCUCAUACAUUCUGCUGGGAACUUCUCCCCAUUUAAUGCCUGCCCCCCGCCCCAGGGAGGGUGAAGGGAACUCUCCCUCUGGGCCCCAUCACAGACCAUCAGCCAGAGGUGUCAGCCCCACCUGAGCCCGGGGGCCCCCUGCACUCAGAUGCCUGAUUCCCGGAGGCCGACCACUGCGACCUUCUGACUCAAAAGGAGACGUGAGGCCCCCUGAAGACGGGAGGCGGGGCCGGGACAGGGGCUGCGGACUGAGCUCAUCUUCGGCCGAGUCAUCGGAGGAUGCCUUUGGCACUGAGACGAGGAGUGCGGGCGGCUGGUGGCCAAGGCGUGUCCCCAGCCCGCCCCCCACAAGCACCGGACACCUCGGGCACCUGGAUUCCAAAUGCUUGGAGCUCUCGGAGGGGCCUCCCUGUGCUGCCUGUGGGGAUGGCAAUUUUGAAGGAAAACCUACAAUGAGACUUGACUUUACAAACAUGUACGUGAAAUGAAUUCCACAGCUGGAGUGUAAGUGGGUUCACUGUUGUCACCUUGUGCAUUUCAACGGCACAUUUCACAACCCUAGGAGUCCGCCCCUCACUGCCGUGACCCCCGGGCAUGCAGACCCGAAGCUCAUCGGCACAGCGGAAACCUAGACUGCUAACGACCCCAUGAUGACGGUGUAGAAAAGGGAAAAAGCCAAGAGCAGCUUUGAGUCAGGGCGGUGCUUGCUAAGCAGCUGUCUUCCACCCACACCCACCCGUCCUGCCUCCACCUCCAGGGUCGGCAGAAGCAGAGCUGGCAACUAUCUCUCGGACCACAUGGCAGAAGCCAUCUGAGCUGGACCCCAAGACACAGAUGCACAGCACGGAGGACGCAGGUCCUGGAGCGGCCUCGGCGUCCUCAGACCCAGCCGGGGUUGCAGAGGCAGGAAGUGCAGCGGGCACGCGGGACGGAACACGGAUACCUGGGUGCUGGUUUCUAUUCAUUAUUUAUUUAACAACCACACUGACAGUGGCCUCGAGGUAGGCCCAGCGUCAACACUGGGGAUCUCGCCCUGCGGCAGCCUGGGGGCUCUGCCUGAGGGGCUCACAGUCUGGUGCAGGUUGCGGUCGCAGCCCCCAGGACCAGGUGGGGUGACAGGGAGCCGGGGAGCCCCUGGGGGCUGGUGGGGCUGGUCAGUGUGCUUGUGGGGACCUGGGAUGGUCACCCAGGGACUAUGGUGCUACGUCCAGGAGAGAAGAGACGACGGAGGCAAAGAGAGGGAGAACGGGCGAAGGCUGGUGCCCAGGGUGAGCCUGGGGAACCUGGCCUGCGUUGAGCCAUGCUGGAGCAGAUGGGGGGUGGAGGGUGCAGCCGAGACACUGGGCAGGGGGUGCAGGAGAGAUGUCCACGCUGGGCACAAUGCUGAGAGGGGAGCCGGGGCCAAUCGAGGCAGGAGUGUGGCUGGUAGGACAGGACGGCCGGCUGCCAGGUGGGGUGUGGACUGGAGGUAGCAGGAGCGGCUCAGCCCCACCGGCUUCAUGCUGUGGCCACGGUCCUGGGGGCCGCCACCUCCCACCUGUGAAGGGCAGGCACGCUCCCCGCACGCCCCUUCUGCCUCUGAGAUACGUGAUCUGUGCUAAAGUCAGUGCUGCUCAAACCCACGGUGGGGACUGCCGCAUGCUGA